CACGUAGGGUGCGAGCGUUGUCCGGAAUUAUUGGGCGUAAAGAGCUCGUAGGCGGUGUGUCGCGUCGGCUGUGAAAACCUGCAGCUUAACUGUGGGCUUGCGGUCGAUACGGGCAUCACUGGAGUUCGGCAGGGGAGACUGGAAUUCCUGGUGUAGCGGUGAAAUGCGCAGAUAUCAGGAGGAACACCGGUGGCGAGGGCAGCUCGCUGGGACGGUACUGACGCUGAGACGCGAAAGCGUGGGGAGCAAACAGG
RNAcentral lists this ribosomal RNA (254 nucleotides) under uncultured bacterium. RNAcentral describes it as "partial 16S ribosomal RNA". It matches the Rfam family "Bacterial small subunit ribosomal RNA", at positions 524 to 776 of the family's 1533-position model. The record is from RNAcentral.